UGAGGAAUAUUGGUCAAUGGGCGCAAGCCCGAACCAGCCAUGCCGCGUGCAGGACGAAUGCCCUAUGGGUUGUAAACUGCUUUUAUUUGGGAAUAAACCUAUUUACGUGUAGAUAGCUGGAGGUACCAAAUGAAUAAGCACCGGCUAACUCCGUGCCAGCAGCCGCGGUAAUACGGAGGGUGCAAGCGUUAUCCGGAAUCAUUGGGUUUAAAGGGUCCGCAGGCGGUGCUAUAAGUCAGUGGUGAAAUCUCAUAGCUUAACUAUGAAACUGCCAUUGAUACUGUAGCACUUGAAUUCGGUCGAAGUGGGCGGAAUAUGACAUGUAGCGGUGAAAUGCAUAGAUAUGUCAUAGAACACCGAUAGCGAAGGCAGCUCACUAGGCCUGGAUUGACGCUCAGGGACGAAAGCGUGGGGAGCAAACAGG
RNAcentral lists this ribosomal RNA (424 nucleotides) under uncultured bacterium. Its description in RNAcentral is "bacterial SSU rRNA". It matches the Rfam family "Bacterial small subunit ribosomal RNA", at positions 355 to 776 of the family's 1533-position model. The record is from RNAcentral.